RNAcentral lists this ribosomal RNA (467 nucleotides) under uncultured bacterium. RNAcentral describes it as "partial 16S ribosomal RNA". It matches the Rfam family "Bacterial small subunit ribosomal RNA", at positions 28 to 507 of the family's 1533-position model. The record is from RNAcentral.
GACGAACGCUGGCGGCGUGCUUAACACAUGCAAGUCGAACGGAGAGGCCCUGCUUUUGUGGGGUGCUCGAGUGGCGAACGGGUGAGUAACACGUGAGUAACCUGCCCUUGACUUUGGGAUAACUUCAGGAAACUGGGGCUAAUACCGGAUAGGAGCUCCUGCUGCAUGGUGGGGGUUGGAAAGUUUCGGCGGUUGGGGAUGGACUCGCGGCUUAUCAGCUUGUUGGUGGGUAGUGGCUUACCAAGGCUUUGACGGGUAGCCGGCCUGAGAGGGUGACCGGCCACAUUGGGACUGAGAUACGGCCCAGACUCCUACGGGAGGCAGCAGUGGGGAAUAUUGCACAAUGGGCGGAAGCCUGAUGCAGCAACGCCGCGUGCGGGAUGACGGCCUUCGGGUUGUAAACCGCUUUCGCCUGUGACGAAGCGUGAGUGACGGUAAUGGGUAAAGAAGCACCGGCUAACUACGUG